AACUUUGCGGAGGGGAGGUGGCUGAAGACAGAGAUAACGUGUUGAAGAUGGCAGAGUAAAAUGAGAAAGCAGUUUGGUCCAUGAUGACACUGUUGAACUGAUAGAUUUACGAGCCUGGCAUCUGUCAACCUCUGGACUCCUUCCAAGAAGAGCGCUCUUAAGUAGUUGGAAGUUCAUCUCUGAGUGACAUGUGAACCUUCUGAAGAAGGAAUUGAGCAUUUUCCAGGUAGAAGAAAGCACCAUUGCUCCUGAGCAGAGGUCCUCACUCAGGUCUUAAACCGUCUGCAAAUAUUGGUGCUUACAGUGCAGAUGAUGCCAAAAAUUUGUCUUAACCAAUGCAGAGGCUGAAGAAAGAGAGGCAGCCUCACCCAGCCUGAAGGUACAGCUCCAGAAGGGGAAUGACACCAUGAGAACCACAUAACACGGGACUGCUGACAUUCUCGCUGGCCUUAUUAUUCUAAAUUGAAGGGAGCGCCUCUUCUCCCAUCUUGUAAACCAGUCUUUGUUUUUUAAAACCUACGCAGUGGUGAGAAGAGAUCUCUGCUUUGACCAGCUCCUACUGAAUUGCAUAGGAUAAGAAAUAAGUACGUGAACUUCCAAGAUGAUUGUAAUUUGUAAAGGAAGCACUACAGUUUCAUUUUUGUCAUUAUUAAGAUUGUGCUUUGGAAACAUAACUGGCUGAUGAAAAAUAGAAUCUUUGCUGUUUUUAAUCAUAAUAGCCACUUACAUUAUUAGAGUGCUUUGAAGUACUCCAAUGGAUAAAAUGAAUGAAAAGUAACUUGAAGUGUUCUAAGAAGGUACUCAUUCAAGUCAUGUUGUAAACCUAAUAUAGUGACUCUGUAGGAUAAAGUGAAUAUAAUUGGAUCGGGUCACAUGCUUUCUGCAGUGUUCAUGUUCAGUGUGUCAUCUCAAAAUGCUUGAUAUAUGUUUUAUAUAAUCAUCUGUCUCUAAGUACUGUACUUACCUAAUCCAUUACUUUGGUAAUCAUUUGAGUGUUUCCAUUAUAAAGCAAUGAAUCAUAAUUCAGGCUGAAGCUAUUGCACAUAUUCAAAACAGAAAAGUGUCUGUGCUCUGUAAUCUAUUAGAAAUCUUUGGUGCUGUUUGGCAUGGAAAAAACCUAGAAACAUCACCAUUCCCUAGCAUAAGCUGUGAAAGUUACCGAAGUUCUCAUGGAGUCUGGGCGUUGAAGACAAAGUAGAUGAUGCUCCGUCCUAUUUCUGUGUGGUGUGUGAUUUGGGGGGAAAAAAACAGAAGAGAUUAAUGAAAAUAUGUAAAAUCCAUGUUGGAGCAGAACCAAAGUCAAGUGAAAAAAAAUGAU
Lutra lutra (Eurasian river otter) is the source of this 1318-nucleotide long non-coding RNA. RefSeq lists it as uncharacterized. The record is from RefSeq and is a predicted model, not a curated record. NCBI's taxonomy places the organism in Eukaryota, Metazoa, Chordata, Mammalia, Carnivora, Mustelidae. The transcript has 4 exons.